UGAGUAACGCGUGAGUAACCUGCCUUUCAGAGGGGGAUAACGUUCUGAAAAGAAACGCUAAUACCGCAUGAGACUACAGAGCUGCAUGGCUCAGUGGUCAAAGGAGCAAUCCGCUGAAAGAUGGACUCGCGUCCGAUUAGAUAGUAGGCGGGGUAACGGCCCACCUAGUCGACGAUCGGUAGCCGGACUGAGAGGUUGAACGGCCACAUUGGGACUGAGACACGGCCCAGACUCCUACGGGAGGCAGCAUG
This 251-nucleotide ribosomal RNA is filed under the name uncultured bacterium. RNAcentral describes it as "partial 16S ribosomal RNA". It matches the Rfam family "Bacterial small subunit ribosomal RNA", at positions 107 to 353 of the family's 1533-position model. The record is from RNAcentral.